Molecule: ribosomal RNA, 440 nt
Filed under: uncultured bacterium
Lineage: Bacteria
Description: partial 16S ribosomal RNA
Rfam family: Bacterial small subunit ribosomal RNA
Source: RNAcentral
CCUACGGGAGGCAGCAGUAGGGAAUAUUGCUCAAUGGGGGAAACCCUGAAGCAGCAACGCCGCGUGGAGGAUGAAGGUUUUCGGAUUGUAAACUCCUUUUGUUAGAGAAGAUAAUGACGGUAUCUAACGAAUAAGCACCGGCUAACUCCGUGCCAGCAGCCGCGGUAAUACGGAGGGUGCAAGCGUUACUCGGAAUCACUGGGCGUAAAGAGCGCGUAGGCGGGGUAGCGAGUCAGAUGUUAAAUCCUAUGGCUUAACCAUAGAACUGCAUUUGAAACUGUUAUUCUAGAGUGUGGGAGAGGUAGGCGGAAUUCUUGGUGUAGGGGUGAAAUCCGUAGAGAUCAAGAGGAAUACUGAUUGCGAAGGCGGCCUGCUAGAACAUAACUGACGCUGAUGCGCGAAAGCGUGGGGAGCAAACAGGAUUAGAUACCCGGGUAGUC